RNAcentral lists this ribosomal RNA (440 nucleotides) under uncultured bacterium. RNAcentral's name for it is "bacterial SSU rRNA". It matches the Rfam family "Bacterial small subunit ribosomal RNA", at positions 340 to 773 of the family's 1533-position model. The record is from RNAcentral.
UACGGGAGGCAGCAGUGGGGAAUAUUGCACAAUGGGCGCAAGCCUGAUGCAGCCAUGCCGCGUGUAUGAAGAAGGCCUUCGGGUUGUAAAGUACUUUCAGUCGUGAGGAAGGUGUUAAGGUUAAUAACCUUAGCAAUUGACGUUAGCGACAGAAGAAGCACCGGCUAACUCCGUGCCAGCAGCCGCGGUAAUACGGAGGGUGCGAGCGUUAAUCGGAAUUACUGGGCGUAAAGGGCACGCAGGCGGUUAAUUAAGUUGGAUGUGAAAUCCCCGGGCUUAACCUGGGAAUGGCAUUCAAGACUGGUUAGCUAGAGUCUUGUAGAGGGGGUAGAAUUCCAUGUGUAGCGGUGAAAUGCGUAGAGAUGUGGAGGAAUACCGGUGGCGAAGGCGGCCCCUGGGACAAAGACUGACGCUCAUGUGCGAAAGCGUGGGGAGCGAAA